Molecule: ribosomal RNA, 425 nt
Filed under: Salmonella enterica
Lineage: Bacteria; Pseudomonadati; Pseudomonadota; Gammaproteobacteria; Enterobacterales; Enterobacteriaceae
Also listed under: 1 other name
Description: partial 23S ribosomal RNA
Rfam family: Bacterial large subunit ribosomal RNA
Source: RNAcentral
CCGAACCGACUAAUGUUGAAAAAUUAGCGGAUGACCUGUGGCUGGGGGUGAAAGGCCAAUCAAACCGGGAGAUAGCUGGUUCUCCCCGAAAGCUAUUUAGGUAGCGCCUCGUGAAUUCAUCUCCGGGGGUAGAGCACUGUUUCGGCUAGGGGGCCAUCCCGGCUUACCAACCCGAUGCAAACUGCGAAUACCGGAGAAUGUUAUCACGGGAGACACACGGCGGGUGCUAACGUCCGUCGUGAAGAGGGAAACAACCCAGACCGCCAGCUAAGGUCCCAAAGUCAUGGUUAAGUGGGAAACGAUGUGGGAAGGCCCAGACAGCCAGGAUGUUGGCUUAGAAGCAGCCAUCAUUUAAAGAAAGCGUAAUAGCUCACUGGUCGAGUCGGCCUGCGCGGAAGAUGUAACGGGGCUAAACCAUGCACCGA